UGCUUGCUUCAGCAGCACUAUACUAAAGUUGGAAUGAUACAGAGAAGAUUAUCAUAGCCCCUGCACAAGGAUGNAAUGCAAAUUCGUGAAGUAUUCCAUACUUUU
This 105-nucleotide small nuclear RNA is filed under the name Neotoma lepida (desert woodrat). The record is from RNAcentral. Lineage: Eukaryota; Metazoa; Chordata; Mammalia; Rodentia; Cricetidae.